Molecule: long non-coding RNA, 2092 nt
Filed under: Equus caballus (horse)
Lineage: Eukaryota; Metazoa; Chordata; Mammalia; Perissodactyla; Equidae
Description: lncRNA (ENSECAG00000057812.1)
Source: RNAcentral
CCUGAUUGGACAGUUCACAAGGCCCCGCCCCCUUGUGCCUGAGUGACAGCAGGCCGGGGGCGCAUCUUUGAGCCGACCUUGCCUUGGCCGCAGGCCAGAACCUGUCCUCUGCAAGGACGCUGCAUUGAACCAUGAGGCCGGAGGCCAAGCCCGGAACUGUGACCCUUCCUUGCGCACACAGACACUUCAAAGGGACCUCACCAUAUGUCACAAUGAGCCUGGCUCCGUUUGAUCUUUGACCAUCUCCAGCGGGGAGACCCCCGCCCCCGUCCCCGCUCGCUGGGGUCUUUAAAGGGUCCGGUGGGCUCCGGGCGCCUGGCUGCGGUGGGAGGUUUGAACCCCACAGCCCCAGGGCAGGCCCCAGGCAUCCGGCGCCAGCACGUGUGAAUACUUUUCAAUGCAAUUCCAUUAAUACUCAUUUGUGGAAAUGUCAAAGGAGAUUCUGUGGUGCCACCUCUUGUCCUGCUCAGUGGUAUUGCAACACCCUCGAGAUGGCAGCUUGUCUUCUUGCCAAGCAUCGUCAAUCAAAUUUGAGGUCCUUCCAUCUCUCUGUACUGCAGUGUCCAUUCUCCUGCUGCUCUGAUCUUGUCAGAUGGGUAUCUGAGCUAGGCUCCACCCGCUUCCGACGGACCCUACCCUCAACAUCACGGGACCCGCACGCCUUUCUCUCCCUGGAUGUGGGUGAGCCAAUCUGCUGGUGAGGAGGGGAUAAACUUCUUAAAGAACUUUUAAAAUAAUAUAACCGCCUGAUGUGUGGUUAGUUUGGGAUGUUUCAGUUAUGUUGGGGUCCCCUUCUUUAUGAAGGUUGUCUCAAUUAAGAGAUGAAAAGCAGUAACUCUCCACUGGGCUCCAUCUUGUACAAAUGUUGCAAACUCAUGUUGCAGUUCACUGCGUUAAACCAAGACACUUCCCUGGGAGCCAAGGGGUCUGGGAGAGGGGUGACCUCUUCCAGAACAAUGGCACGUGGCAAGGAACUGACAGGAUGGAAGGGCACCCGCUCCUGCAGGUAGGAUAUCCCAGAGAGCCCAGGUUUGGCUCCAUCGUGUCUCAAGGAGGUCUUAGGAGCCGUGCUGAGCUCAUGGGGUGCUGUUUCCAGAGCCCAAAGCAUAACGGGCAGCUGAGUGGAGGGUCCCAUGGGUCCCAUGCUCAGGGCCUCGGAGAGCCUCUAUCAUCAGGAGAGACCAGUAUGUGGUGGUGACUGCAGCUCCAAUGGCACACAGUGGGGGGCUGGGGCAGGUUCUUGCAUCAGAAGCCUACAGGCAACUUAAGGCCAUCAAGGGUACCCCAGAAGACAUGACAGAAGGUCACUGAGGCCUCCGUAGGGAAGGAAUCUCCAAGGACACUAACAGGAGUGUUGGCUGUAGGACAAUUUGAAGAGAGUCUCCAGCCUUCUGUGGUAGGGGUGCCCACUCAGGGUGGCAAAUUUGCACAUAACAGCAUAAACGGGCUCAAGGAAAACCUGUAAACAAGAAAUAUAUUGCCUCCCAAACAUCAAGAGAACCUGCAGAAACGGGUGUGCUAUGAGGACAAUAGCUAUUUCUUCCCAUUAUCAGGGAGGAGCAGCCCCUGGCUUACCAAAUAGUUUUUAGGAAUUCAACCAAGGUGUCAAGGCCUCACAUUAUGUGUGGGGAAUGGCCCAUCUGCUUUUCGUGAGCUCCUCUCUUCAAUAUUUGUUUGUCCUGAAUGAAGGUCAACCGAACGUCCUUGGAGGAGGAUGUCGUUAGGGUCAUGUUACACUGUGCUCCUGGGGCAAGGUGGGUGCAGUUCAGACCCCGCCUGCAGUGGCUGUGAGAGGGCACAGCUGUGGAAGAUCCAUGAGGACAACCCAGUAAAGGGGCAUCAUGUCCCCUCAAAGGGGAAGGCCCAGUGCAGCUAAGAGGCUGUGGACACAGGCUCUGAACAGAACAGACUCAGCUGAGUCUGUGCGAGCAGAAUGUUUACCAGCUGCUGACUGGACGGAGUCAGUGCUUUCCAUACUGUUGGGGACUGGGUCUAGGGCUGUGUUUGGCGCGACCGCAGCCUCCAGGUUGCAGUGAUCCACUGUGAGGUGCCGUUCAUUCCUUCCAGAUUUAUGAACAGGCCAAAUCCGGCU